Molecule: long non-coding RNA, 3120 nt
Organism: Meriones unguiculatus (Mongolian gerbil)
Lineage: Eukaryota; Metazoa; Chordata; Mammalia; Rodentia; Muridae
Exons: 3
Source: RefSeq, a predicted model, not a curated record
CCUCACAGAUUGCUUUAGGAUGAGUUAAAACAUAAGUCACACUUGGAAGAUAUGGUGUCUAGAAUGGACUCCUAAUCACAUAUGUAUGAAGCCAAGGAAAUAUUUCAACGGAGCUGAUGUUCGGUUCAGACAGCUGAGAUGCGUGAGCUUCAGACAACAGCCAAAACCCUCUAGUCUUAUCGGCUCAAGCAAAGCCCGGCGCCGUGACUCGACCAGUAGUCUAUUUCAGGAGACCAAAUGUGUAUUUCGUAAACAACAUGUAAGUUGCAGCACCUCUGCCGAUAAAAUCCUCCCCCAACACCUAUCCUUUAUGGCAGAUAUGCAAAGCAGAGUUUUGAUUCGCUACUCUACGGAAGAGUGACCUUGGUGUGACUCUAACCAAGCAAGUUGCAGACCCAUUUGAAAAAAAAUUUAAGUCUCUGAAGAAAGAAAUCGAAGAAGAUAUCAGAAGACGGAAAGAUCUCCCAUGCUCAUGGAUCGAUAAGAUUAACAUAGUGAAAAUGGCCAUUCUGUGAAAAGCAAUCUACAGAUUCAAUGCAAUUCCCAUCAAAAUACCAACACAAUUCUUUACAGACCUGGAAAGAAAAAAUUUCAACUUCAUAUGGAAAAACAAAAACCCAGAAUUUCCGAAACAAUCUCGUACAACAGCAUAGUAUCUGAAGGUAUCUCCAUCCCCAAUCUCAAGCUGUACUACAGAGAAAUAGUAAUAAAAAUGACAUGGUAUUGGCAUAGAAACAGAACAGUGGAUCAAUGGAACGGAAUAGAAGACCCAGAAAUAAACCCACACACCUAUGGAUACUUGAUUUUUGACAAAGAAGCCAAAACCAUUCAAUGGAAAAAAGACAGCAUCUUCAACAAAUGGUGCUGGUCCAACUGGAUGUCUACAUGCAGAAAAAUGCAAAUAGAUCCAUAUUUAUUAUCAUGCACAAAACUAAAGUCCAGGUGGAUAAAAGACCUCAACAUAAAACCAGACACACUAAAUUGGUAGGAAGAAAAAGUGGGAAAGAGCCUAGAAUUCAUUGGCACAGGAGAAAACUCCCUGAACAGAACACCACAGCACAGGCUCUAAGAGCAACAAUCAAUAAAUGGGACCUCAUGAAACUAAAAAGCUUCUGUAAAGCAAAGGACACUGUCAUCAGAACAAAACAACAACCUACAGACUGGGGAAGGAUCUUCACCAACACUAUAUUUGACAGAGGGCUAAUAUCCAGAAUAUAUAAAGAACUAAAGAAGUUAAACAGCAACAAAUCAAUUAAUCCGAUUAAAAAAUGGGGUACAGAGCUAAACAGAGAAUUCUCUAUAGAGGAAUAUAGAAUGGCAGAGAAACACUUAAAGAGAUGCUCAAUGUCCUUAGUUAUCAGGGAGAUGCAAAUCAAAACGACCCUGAGAUUUCCAUUACCCAUCAGAAUGGCUAAGAUCAAAAACUUAAGUGAGUCAGGAGCCAGACACAGAGGCCCUCUGAAAGGCUCUGCCCUGCAGAUUAUCAGUGCAGAUGCUGAGACUUAUGGGCAACAUUUGGGCAGAGUGCAGGGAAUCUUAUGAAAGAAGUGGGAAACAGUAAGAUCUGGAGAGGACAGGAACUCCACAAGAAGAGCAACAUAACCAAAAAAUCUGAGCACAGGGGUCUUUCCUGAGACUGAUACUCCAACCAAGGACUAUGCAUAGAGAUAACCUAAGACCCCUGCACAGAUGUAGCCCAUGGCAGUUCAGUAUCCAAGUGGGACAGGGACUGUCUCUGACAUGAACUGAUUGGCCUGCUCUUUAAUCACCUCCCCCUGAGGGGGGAGCAGCCUUACCAGGCCACAGAAGAAGACAGUGCAGCCACUCCUGAUGAGACCUAAUUGACUAGGAUCAGAAGGAAGGAAAAGAAGACCUCCCCUAUGAGUGGACUUGGGGAGGGGCAUGCAUGCAGAGGGUGGAGAAAGGGAGGGAUUGGGAUGGGAGGAGGGAGGGAACCACAGGGGAGAUACAAAGUGAAUAAAGUGAAAAAAAAAAGAAAAACAAAAAUAGUUUAAAACACAAACAAACAAACAAAAAAAAAACAGACAAAAACUCAAGUGACAACACAUUCUGGAGAGGUUGUGGAGAAAGGGGAACCCUUCUCCACUGCUUCUGGGCAUGUAAACUUGUACAACCACUUUGGAAAUCAAUCUGGCACUUUCUCAGGCAAUUAGGAAUACUGCUGCUUCAAGAUCUAGCUAUAUCACUCCUAAAAUAUAUCCAAAAGUUGUUCAAGUACACAACAAGGACUUUUGUUCAACCAUGUUUGUAGCAGCUUUAUUCAUAAUAGCCAGAACCUGAAAAUAAUCCAGAUGUCCCUCAACAGAGGAAUGGAUACAGAAACUGUGGUACAUUUACACAAUGGAAUAUUACUCAGCAAUUAAAAACAAGGAAAUCAUGGAAUUUGCAGGCAAAUGGUAGGAUCUAGAAAAGAUCAUCCUGAGUGAGGUAUCCCAGAAGCAGAAAGCAUACAUGGUGUAUACUCACUUAUAAGUGGAUACUAGACCUAUAAGAUAGGAUAAGCAUACCAAAAUCUGUACACCUAAAGAAGAUAAACAAGAAGGAGGUCCUCUGGUAAAAUGAUCAAUCCUCACUUAGACAAAUGGGAUGGACAUUGGAAGUAGGAGAAAACAAGAAACAGGACAGGAGCCUACCACAGAGGACCUCUGAAAGACUCUACCUAGCAAUGUACCAAAGCAGAUGCUGAGACUCACAACCAAACCUUGAACAGAGUGCAGGGAAUUCUAUGAAAGGCAGGGGAGUUAGUAUGACCUGGAGAGGACAGGAGCUCCACAAGGACCAAAUAUAUCUGGGCACAGGGAUCUUUUCUGAGGCUGAGUCUCCAACCAAGGAACAUGCAUGCAUAUAACCUAGAACCCCUGCUCAGACUUAAGCCCAUGGCAGCUCAGCAUCCAAGUGGGGUUCGCUAGUAAGGGAACAGGGACUGUCUCUAACAUGAACUCAGAGGCUGGCUCUUUGACCUCCCCUCUCCCCCAAGGGAGGAGCAGCCUUGCUAGGCCACAGAGGGGAACAUUGUAGGCAGUCCUGAUGAGACAUGAUAAACUAGGGUCAGAUGGAAGGGGAGGAGGACCUUCCCCAUCAGUGGACUUAGAGAGGGGC